UAGCAUAUCACUAAGCGCAGGAGAAGAAACUAACGAGGAUUUCCCUAGUAACGGCGAGCGAACCGGAAAGAGCCCAGCUUGAAAAUCGAGGCGCCUUGGGUGCCUCGAGUUGUGGUCUGGAGAAGGUCCCUCUGCGGCGCGCCGGACCCAAGUUCCCUGGAAAGGGACGUCGGAGAGGGUGACAACCCCGUCGAGUCCGGGCCGCGUCGCUCCACGAGGACCUGUCUGCGAGUCGGGCUGUUUGGGAAUGCAGCCCUAAGUGGGUGGUAAAUUCCAUCCAAGGCUAAAUAUGGGCAAGAGACCGAUAGCGAACAAGUACCGCGAGGGAAAGAUGAAAAGGACUUUGAAAAGAGAGUUAAAAAGUGCUUGAAAUUGCUGGGAGGGAAGCGAAUGGAAGCUGCGGGUGCGGCCCGGUUGGAUGCGGAACGGCUGCGCGCUGGUCCGCCGCUCAACGCGGGUCGCUGGUCAGCGUGGGCCGUCGCGGCGGGACAAGAGCGGGGAUUCGCUUCCCGCCUAUGCCGCCGCGGUGGCCGAGGGAACGAAGCGCGCGCCGCAAGGCGUGGGGGUGCGCCCCCAACUGCGCGCUCGAGACGCUGGCGUAUUGAGCUCUUCAUCCGACCCGUCUUGAAACACGGACCAAGGAGUCUAACAUGUAUGCGAGCCGGUGGGCGGCAAACCCAUUUCGAGGCGCAAGUAACCUGACAGGUGGGACCCCUUAGUCGGGAGCACCAUCGACCGACCGUGAUCUUCUGUGAAGGGUUC
This 762-nucleotide ribosomal RNA is filed under the name Macromitrium ferriei. Its description in RNAcentral is "partial 26S ribosomal RNA". It matches the Rfam family "Eukaryotic large subunit ribosomal RNA", at positions 36 to 791 of the family's 3401-position model. Lineage: Eukaryota; Viridiplantae; Streptophyta; Bryopsida; Orthotrichales; Orthotrichaceae. The record is from RNAcentral.